UGAGACUGUAUAGCUAGGCCUAGCCUAAUAGCCUAGCCUAAUACCUAGAGGAGGUACGUGUAAUGUGUAUGAGACUGUAUAGCUAGGCCUAAUAUCUAGAGGAGGUGCGUGUAAUGUGUAUGAGACUGUAUAGCUAGGCCUAGCCUAAUACCUAGAGGAGGUAUGUGUAAUGUGUGUAUGAGACUGUAUAGCUAGGCCUAGCCUAAUACCUAGAGGAGGUACGUGUAAUGUGUGUAUGAGACUGUAUAGCUAGGCCUAGCCUAAUACCUAGAGGAGGUACGUGUAAUGUGUGUAUGAGACUGUAUAGCUAGGCCUAGCCUAAUACCUAGAGGAGGUACGUGUAAUGUGUGUAUGAGACUGUAUAGCUAGGCCUAGCCUAAUACCUAGAGGAGGUACGUGUAAUGUGUGUAUGAGACUGUAUAGCUAGGCCUAGCCUAAUACCUAGAGGAGGUACGUGUAAUGUGUGUAUGAGACUGUAUAGCUAGGCCUAGCCUAAUACCUAGAGGAGGUACGUGUAAUGUGUGUAUGAGACUGUAUAGCUAGGCCUAGCCUAAUACCUAGAGGAGGUACGUGUAAUGUGUGUAUGAGACUGUAUAGCUAGGCCUAGCCUAAUACCUAGAGGAGGUACGUGUAAUGUGUGUAUGAGACUGUAUAGCUAGGCCUAGCCUAAUACCUAGAGGAGGUACGUGUAAUGUGUGUAUGAGACUGUAUAGCUAGGCCUAGCCUAAUACCUAGAGGAGGUACGUGUAAUGUGUGUAUGAGACUGUAUAGCUAGGCCUAGCCUAAUACCUAGAGGAGGUACGUGUAAUGUGUGUAUGAGACUGUAUAGCUAGGCCUAGCCUAAUACCUAGAGGAGGUACGUGUAAUGUGUGUAUGAGACUGUAUAGCUAGGCCUAGCCUAAUACCUAGAGGAGGUACGUGUAAUGUGUGUAUGAGACUGUAUAGCUAGGCCUAGCCUAAUACCUAGAGGAGGUACGUGUAAUGUGUGUAUGAGACUGUAUAGCUAGGCCUAGCCUAAUACCUAGAGGAGGUAUGUGUAAUGUGUGUAUGAGACUGUAUAGCUAGGCCUAAUACCUAGAGGAGGUAUGUGUAAUGUGUGUAUGAGACUGUAUAGCUAGGCCUAGCCUAAUACCUAGAGGAGGUAUGUGUAAUGUGUGUAUGAGACUGUAUAGCUAGGCCUAGCCUAAUACCUAGAGGAGGUACGUGUAAUGUGUGUAUGAGACUGUAUAGCUAGGCCUAGCCUAAUACCUAGAGGAGGUAUGUGUAAUGUGUAUGUAAUAAUGGGGGAGAACAUAGACAGUAAAACACCAAUCCUCUGCGUAGAUGAUAUGCCAAUGUGGAAGAGAAAUGACACAGGCCAGAUACAAUUCUUCCAGACAUGUGCAACUAUUAGCCUAAGCCUAUCAAAAAAGGAGGAAAACAGGAUAGAUGUGUUUUGAAUGGA
This is a long non-coding RNA of Oncorhynchus keta (chum salmon), 1444 nucleotides long. RefSeq lists it as uncharacterized. Lineage: Eukaryota; Metazoa; Chordata; Actinopteri; Salmoniformes; Salmonidae. The transcript is spliced from 4 exons. The record is from RefSeq and is a predicted model, not a curated record.